This 388-nucleotide long non-coding RNA is filed under the name Pongo abelii (Sumatran orangutan). Its description in RNAcentral is "lincRNA". The record is from RNAcentral. Lineage: Eukaryota; Metazoa; Chordata; Mammalia; Primates; Hominidae.
CAUAUAUAAACCACUUUGCAAAAAGAGAGUUAUGGAAUAAAAGAGAAAAUGAAGAAGAGAAGAAAGGCUGGAGUGCAAUGGUGUGAUCUCAGCUCACUGCAGCCUCAACCUCCCUGGCUCAGGUGAUUCUCCCACCUCAGCUUCCUGAUUAAUUGAGAUUACAGUAAUGGUGAAAUUGCCGGUAAUCACUAAGUAAAAACCGCUGAAGAAUGGGACAAAGCCAAUGACCACCUCACCUCCACCGAGUGCCCUGCGGAAAAAGGAAAUGGAAAUCCUUCCUGUUCUUCUCCACGUCCCUUCGUAGAAGGCUGCCUGAGAGGUCAGCACAGGAGCCCUCUAAGUGCCCUGCAGAGAACACAGGUCUCGGAGCCGGACAAACCUAAAUUUU